UACGUAGGGUGCAAGCGUUAAUCGGAAUUACUGGGCGUAAAGCGUGCGCAGGCGGUGAUGUAAGACAGAUGUGAAAUCCCCGGGCUCAACCUGGGAACUGCAUUUGUGACUGCAUCGCUGGAGUGCGGCAGAGGGGGAUGGAAUUCCACGUGUAGCAGUGAAAUGCGUAGAGAUGUGGAGGAACACCGAUGGCGAAGGCAGCCCCCUGGGCCGACACUGACGCUCAGGCACGAAAGCGUGGGGAGCAAACAGG
RNAcentral lists this ribosomal RNA (253 nucleotides) under uncultured bacterium. RNAcentral's name for it is "partial 16S ribosomal RNA". It matches the Rfam family "Bacterial small subunit ribosomal RNA", at positions 524 to 776 of the family's 1533-position model. The record is from RNAcentral.